UACUGGCCUGGUAUAUAUUAUCUACUGGGUCUGGGGGGGGUCAUACUGGCCUGGUAUCUAUUAGCAUGUAACAGUUGUUCAACGCUAUUAAAACCACCCACAUCUCCAUUUGUGGGCUAGUUUGUGUAAUCGUUAUUAACAAAAUGUUUUUCGCAAAACAGUAGGCUAGCUCUUGUAUGAUAGCCUACAGUCGUCUACUGACGCAUGUGAUUAAUGAUCAUCAAUGUUUUCCAUUUCUGUAGCCUAUAUCUUGUUAUAAAUAAAUAGGGCCUACAGUUUAUGCAACAUAAUUUGUCCCACAGAGGUAAAACUCAAGUCUCAGACAGUCGGUUAACUAAAUUAAAAGACUCGUCAGAUUUCGACAACUUACAUGUCACUUAACUGCACUUCCUAUAUCGUUCACGGCAAUAAGAGAAAGUCAGCUGGCUACAUUUUUAAAAAAUCACUUUUUUUUUAAAGUUCGUGGCAGUUCCAAAUUUGCGAACACAUUCCGACAGUGAAAGUUUUGACGAACUUUUCACGUCAGCAAGGUCAAUUAGAUUUGAAUAGUUUACGAUUUUUUUUCAAUUGAAAAUACCAGCGCUGUCUAUUUAUUUUGAGUUUCAUUCAAUAUUUCAAAGGCCUUGAGGUAGGCCGAUAAGCUCCUUCAACGUCGUAAUUAUGGUCGAGACUUGUGUGCAGCGUAUCGUGCCCCCACAGACAGCAACAUACCACGCGCAGGAAGGGAAAAAUAUCAAAAACGCGCAUUACCUCGGUUUCUUUUGAGCGAGAAGAUAAGGGAAGACCAAUGAUUGGAUGGACUGUAAUAACUGAAGAUAAUGCAAGAGGGGCCUUUAACUGACUACAAGAGGAAGCUUUCAGUCUUUGGACCCAAAGUUCGGUGAGGAAGACAACCAUUGUCACAACAUGGACCAAAGGACAUGACCUUACAAGUGCACUCUAGGGUCUGUGUACAUUUUGUUAUUUUGAUUUCCGAGUGGAAAAACAAAGUCAAUGUAUUUUCAAAUUUAUUGUGUCAAAGUUGGACAUGGAAUAAUGGAAAACAAAUAACAACAAAAUAUCAUUACAUUUUGGGAUUUUAGUUUCUUGUUUUGUUCAUACCCAGAUGUACACACCCCCUCAUAGAAUGUUCAUUGUUUAGGGGGAGUGUUUACAGUCGAGGUCGGUAGCACAAAGAGAGGAUUUGAUUGUAUGAGUGUGACCGGAAGAUAAAAUUACUAAUGUUAGCUAAGAUGCAGCACUUAUUAUAAAGUUUGCAUGCCAAUAGAACAAACUCAACAACAACUGAACAAAGUUGGCUAGUAGGUUACUGGCUAUGCUAUAGUCAUACUAGCUAGUAGUAGUUAGUGUAAGUAAGUUAGUCCCUAAACCUGCUACAAGAUAAAGCUGCCUUGGCAGAGCUACCCGCUGCAGAAAGGUCAGAUUAGCUAUAUCCUAUAUCUUUUGUCGACUGAUGGUGUUUAUUGACAGAGGAAAAAUUAACAGCAGUUACUGUAAAUGUUACUGUAAAUGGUUACCUAUCUGGCACUUUGCAUAGCUAACUUAGCUAUUGCAUACACCUCCAACAAUAUCAAAUUAACCUAUAGUCAGUGCUGAUGUGUGUGUGUACACCUGUGUGUGUGUACUAAAUAUACUAGCUACACUAAUACAGUCUCUAAUAGUUUUAUAAUAAUACUCUAAUAUUGGUGAGGACAGACAUACCAAUACGUGCAAGAAAGUUCACAUUGUUUAUUUAAACUCAAUCAGUCAUUCUCAGAAUUAUUUAUUGUUUAAAUUAUUUUUAACUUUAAUUGGACAAGUAGGCUAUAACAUUUUUGUCAUGAAGAAAGUUGUAAGGACUUAGGCUUGCUUGAAUACCUUGAAGAAAAGCUGUUGGUGUUGUGAUCAAAGAGCAAACAGAAAAAAGGAAAAAAAACAUUGACACAAAAUAAUGACAAAACAAAACAACGAGAGUGUGUAUUGGUUACAUAGACUCCCAAUGUUGUGUCCCAAAGCUACUCUCGCUACAACUGUGGAGCAGCUGUGGGUUCCCCUGAGUUUAACUGUAAAUGACCCACAGCACUCCACCACUGCAGCUAAAGCCAGCAGCACAGCCUUUACAGAAAAAUGUUACUGCAGAAGAAAAGGGGACUCAGAGCACCAGAUAAUUAUGAUUCACACCAAGUCCUCCACUUCAUCCCUUUAUAUUCACAUGUUCAGGAAAAAAAAAGAGAACACAACUCUUGAAAUUUAAGAGACACAGGACUGGAUCUGCAUCACUCGUUCUUUCAUCUCUUGGCUCCCUCUGACUAUAGCAUCCAUCACAUCUCUAUCAAAAGCUGAAAGAGGAACCUGAGGUAGAAGACGGUAUAUUACUUAUUGGACAUUCACAACCAAUACGAGAAUGCAGAACCCUCUCAAACAUUCUGAUUCUGAAAACAUAUAUAAGAAUGAGAACCCUAUGGUUACUCUUUAUCACAAUUGAAAAGAAAAAAACAAUACUGUUACUGCAACUGCUCAAUAAUAACUUGUCUAUUCCAGGUUUUAGUUGUUAUCAGAGUUGGAUUGCAGUCACCGGGCAUUAUAACAAUGCAGAGGAUUACACAUGUAAAUAAAAAGCAAAAACAACUAAAAUAUUCCAUAUACAAUAUGAACUUGACAUUUUAACACAGCUUUUCAGACUAAUGAUCAUCUACAACAGUUUAAAGAAGUAUUCACAUUCGUAUCAAAGAUGAAUAUAUUUUAGGCAUCUAGGAAAAAACUAAAUUCAGUUGGUACUUUCUCAAAACUGGGGUAUAUGAAACCCCAUUGAAAAAAACAAUAAUAUGUAUUUCUCCUCCAGUGAGAAAAAGUAAAAAAUAAUGUAUAAAAAUCGGUUUAUUUUUUGCUUCAAUGACAAAUAACAAUGCAUGUUUAAAAGCACUAACUGUUUACCACUUUCAUCUUGGUUUGUGGUCUAAUAGACACCCAUUUAUUAAGUAGUAAUCAAAACCUAAAUGGGGAUAAAGCUUUUGGAACCAAAUAAAAUGAGAAAAUAUCA
This is a long non-coding RNA of Oncorhynchus keta (chum salmon), 3019 nucleotides long. RefSeq lists it as uncharacterized. The record is from RefSeq and is a predicted model, not a curated record. The transcript is spliced from 2 exons. NCBI's taxonomy places the organism in Eukaryota, Metazoa, Chordata, Actinopteri, Salmoniformes, Salmonidae.